UGGGGGAAUAUUGCACAAUGGGGGAAACCCUGAUGCAGCAACGCCGCGUGAAGGAAGACGGUUUUCGGAUUGUAAACUUCUGUUCUUAGUGAAGAAUAAUGACGGUAGCUAAGGAGCAAGCCACGGCUAACUACGUGCCAGCAGCCGCGGUAAUACGUAGGUGGCAAGCGUUGUCCGGAAUUACUGGGUGUAAAGGGAGCGCAGGCGGGAGACCAAGUCAGCUGUGAAAACUACGGGCUUAACCUGUAGACUGCAGUUGAAACUGGUUUUCUUGAGUGAAGUAGAGGUUGGCGGAAUUCCGAGUGUAGCGGUGAAAUGCGUAGAUAUUCGGAGGAACACCGGUGGCGAAGGCGGCCAACUGGGCUUUAACUGACGCUGAGGCUCGAAAGUGUGGGGAGCAAACAGGAUUAGAUACCC
RNAcentral lists this ribosomal RNA (417 nucleotides) under uncultured bacterium. RNAcentral's name for it is "bacterial SSU rRNA". It matches the Rfam family "Bacterial small subunit ribosomal RNA", at positions 354 to 787 of the family's 1533-position model. The record is from RNAcentral.